UCAAAUUUAUCUCUAACAACAUUACUUUCCUUUCAAUCAUCAAUCAAUCUAAUGAGACAUACUCCAAAAAAUCCAUCUCGUAGAAUAUUCGAAACUUGACAAAAUUAAAAAGAGAAAAAGAAAGUCUCAACAACCCGAAAAUUUGCAGUCCUUUAGCCACGUUUUCUCCAGUAACUAAGCAAUAUAAGCACACAAUAUCUACUACAGUUAAGCAGAAAAACAACUAAAGACAACAUCAUUAUUUUCAUUAUUUUCCCCAAAUACUGAUGCUGUAGGGUUGAUCGUGUAUUCACGAGUCUUUGGUCGUGCCAUUUUCUCCAUCUCAAACCUUCUCGCCCCAUCUGAGUUUCUAGUAACAUUUGCAGCUUUCUUUUUCUCGAUUCUUCUCUGCAUAAUGUACUCUUCAGAAAUAUACACAUCCAUGUGUAGCUCUCAAUACCUUCAAAAAUUGCACAGA
This 457-nucleotide long non-coding RNA is filed under the name Olea europaea subsp. europaea. The record is from RNAcentral. Lineage: Eukaryota; Viridiplantae; Streptophyta; Magnoliopsida; Lamiales; Oleaceae.